CUGGGCAUAGGGUCAUCCGACCCGCCCAAACCGCCCUACCCGAACCGAACCGCACGCAUGUGGGCGGUUUCGCAAACACAUUAGGGUAGGGUGCGGUUUGGAUUUUAUAUGAAUUUCGGGUUGCGGGCGGGUUGCGGGUUUGAACCGCACCCGCCCAACCCGCCCGCAUUUAAUUUAAUUUUUUUUUUUUUUUUCCCUUCCAAACCAAAUCUAACCGUCCAUAUUUCUUUCACUCACCAACUCACUCAUAUAACAAAACAAAAGGAAAAAAAAAACCCUAAUAUCUAAUCCUAAUCGGCUUCUCCUCCUCCUCACUCACUCACUCUCUCUCUGAGUCACAUCUCACUCUCUUCCUCACUCUCUUCUCCUCGGUUCAGCAGUGUGCACACACACACCGAUUGGCGAUCGAUCACUCUCCUUCUCAGCCGAUCUACUUCAUUCAUUCACAGGUGAUCUAGCAGGUGAUCUCUGAAUUUUUUUAUCAUCACACAGCCGAUCUGCUUCAAAGGUGAUCUCUGAUUUUUUUCAUCAUCGCACAACCGAUUUUGAACACUGCACAGCCGAUCUACUUCACAUCACAGGGUUCAUCAACCAAAUGCAUGGAAUUGGAAUUUGUUAAAGUUGAAUUGGAUAUGAUUCAUGAAGAUGAAGUUUGAUAUUUUAGAAGUGUUUCAAUUUUAUUUCGUGGGUUUGUAUUGAAUGAAGUUUAAGUUUGACAAAUUUUUUUUUUUAAUUGCGUUUUGGUUUUGGAUGAAUGUAACUUAAUGCAUUUUUAUUUUUU
Molecule: non-coding RNA, 781 nt
Organism: Camellia sinensis
Lineage: Eukaryota; Viridiplantae; Streptophyta; Magnoliopsida; Ericales; Theaceae
Source: RefSeq, a predicted model, not a curated record